Molecule: long non-coding RNA, 663 nt
Organism: Chelonia mydas (Green sea turtle)
Lineage: Eukaryota; Metazoa; Chordata; Testudines; Cheloniidae
Exons: 3
Source: RefSeq, a predicted model, not a curated record
AGCUUUUGGCAGGGACCACACACAACCCCUUUGGGUGAAAAAUGGAGAAGAUGGUCAGACACGGAUAAUAUACCUGCCUGGGUUUGGCUGCAUCACAGUGUGAAGGGCAUUUAGACUAAAGGAAAGGCAAGUAAACGAGUUUCUUCAGGAGAGAGCACGGUGUGUGUGUCCCCUCUGGAACAGGCUGCAUCGGAACGGAACAUGCAGCAGAGUCCCAGAAAUGUAAAGGUGCAGUGCACAAAACCAGUUCCAUUAGCAACAGAUGCCAUGACCUUCAGAGGCUUUGAUGGGGGGCUGCAGCAUCCUGGACUUUUCACGUGGUGUUGCAACGUAACACGACCUUUCCAGAACCUGAGCACACAAGAACCAAAUACAGAGAGAGACAAAGCAGGCUGCACCCUAAGGCAAAGAGGCACCGCUGACCCCACCUUGCUGUAGGCUGGCUCUGCAUACUGACUGACUUCACAAGGCCCAGAUUGCACACUUUCAUACAGACCUCCUAGCCUGCAAGCAGGAUGGAGAAACCCCUUACAAACUUAGUGUUUCUGCAGCAUUCAGCCAGCUGUAGCCAGGAGUGGGUCUGGAGCAUAUCGACAAGGGGAUCUCAGACUUUGUCAUAGUGUUGCCCACAUGUCAGUAAAGAUGUAAGCCUCAUGAACCUAG